CGUGUAGGCGGAUAGGUCAGUCUAGGGUGAAAUCCUACAGCUUAACUGUAGAAUUGCCUUUGAUACUUCCUGUCUUGAGUUCGGGAGAGGGAAGCGGAAUUCCUGGUGUAGCGGUGAAAUGCGUAGAUAUCAGGAAGAACACCGGUAGCGAAGGCAGCUUCCUGGCCCGAUACUGACGCUAAAGCGCGAAAGCGUGGGGAGCAAACA
RNAcentral lists this ribosomal RNA (207 nucleotides) under uncultured bacterium. Its description in RNAcentral is "partial 16S ribosomal RNA". It matches the Rfam family "Bacterial small subunit ribosomal RNA", at positions 568 to 774 of the family's 1533-position model. The record is from RNAcentral.